RNAcentral lists this microRNA precursor (197 nucleotides) under Oryza brachyantha (malo sina). Its description in RNAcentral is "MIR812 microRNA precursor family". It matches the Rfam family "MIR812 microRNA precursor family". The record is from Rfam by way of RNAcentral. Lineage: Eukaryota; Viridiplantae; Streptophyta; Magnoliopsida; Poales; Poaceae.
AAUAAGAUUACUUUUCAGUUUUUUGAUACAAUGUUUUGAAUCUUCAUCUUAUUUAAAAUUUUUUUAUGAUUAAUAUUUUUGUUCUUACUGUAUGAUAAAACAUGAAUAAUAUUUUAUACGUGAUAAUUUUUUUAAGUUUUUGUACAAAUUUUUUAAAUAGGACGAAUGAUCAAACGUUGGACACGGAAAAACGUAAA